AGAAUCUUGCGCAAUGGGCGAAAGCCUGACGCAGCAAUUCCGCGUGGAGGACGAAGGCCCUCGGGUCGUAAACUCCUUUUGCGAGGGAAGAAGUUCUGACGGUACCUCGCGAAUAAGCCACGGCUAACUACGUGCCAGCAGCCGCGGUAAUACGUAGGUGGCGAGCGUUGUCCGGAUUUAUUGGGCGUAAAGAGCCCGCAGGCGGCUUGGCAAGUUUCGAGUGAAAUCUCCCGGCUCAACUGGGAGGGCGCUCGGAAAACUGCCAGGCUUGAGGCAGGGAGAGGGAUGUGGAAUUCCCGGUGUAGUGGUGAAAUGCGUAGAUAUCGGGAGGAACACCAGUGGCGAAGGCGGCAUCCUGGCCCUGUCCUGACGCUCAGGGGCGAAAGCGUGGGGAGCAAACCGGAUUAGAUACCCGGGUAGUCCACGCCGUAAACGAUGAGUACUAGGUGUGGGGGGUAUCGACCCCCUCUGUGCCGAAGCUAACGCGAUAAGUACUCCGCCUGGGGACUACGGCCGCAAGGCUAAAACUCAAAGGAAUUGACGG
Molecule: ribosomal RNA, 544 nt
Filed under: uncultured bacterium
Lineage: Bacteria
Description: bacterial SSU rRNA
Rfam family: Bacterial small subunit ribosomal RNA
Source: RNAcentral